This 213-nucleotide unclassified non-coding RNA is filed under the name soil metagenome. RNAcentral describes it as "partial contains 5.8S ribosomal RNA, internal transcribed spacer 2, and large subunit ribosomal RNA". The record is from RNAcentral.
AACCUAGCACACCUGCGGUGUGUACCUGCGGAAGGAUCAUUACUGAGUGUAAAAACUCCAAACCCAUGUGAACUUACCACUGUUGCCUCGGCGCAGUUUCCUGUCUGGUGGCGAGAGCUGCUGGGCGGGUUGCGCCGGUGGACUACCAAACUCUUGUAAUUUUGGCAUUCUGAAUAAAAAACUUAAUAAGUUAAAACUUUCAACAAUGGAUCU